UCAGGAUAACAUCAGCUUAAACUGGAUCACAGAUAUUGUCGUCAGUGUAAGAAGGUAGAGGAGGAAUAUCAGGAUAACAUCAGCUUAAACUGGAUCACAGAUAUUGUCGUCAGUGUAAGAAGGUAGAGGAGGAAUAUCAGGAUAACAUCAGCUUAAACUGGAUCACAGAUAUUGUCGUCAGUGUAAGAAGGUAGAGGAGGAAUAUCAGGAUAACAUCAGCUUAAACUGGAUCACAGAUAUUGUCGUCAGUGUAAGAAGGUAGAGGAGGAAUAUCAGGAUAACAUCAUCUUAAACUGGAUCACAGAUAUUGUCGUCAGUGUAAGAAGGUAGAGGAGGAAUAUCAGGAUAACAUCAGCUUAAACUGGAUCACAGAUAUUGUCGUCAGUGUAAGAAGGUAGAGGAGGAAUAUCAGGAUAACAUCAGCUUAAACUGGAUCACAGAUAUUGUCGUCAGUGUAAGAAGGUAGAGGAGGAAUAUCAGGAUAACAUCAGCUUAAACUGGAUCACAGAUAUUGUCGUCAGUGUAAGAAGGUAGAGGAGGAAUAUCAGGAUAACAUCAGCUUAAACUGGAUCACAGAUAUUGUCGUCAGUGUAAGAAGGUAGAGGAGGAAUAUCAGGAUAACAUCAGCUUAAACUGGAUCACAGAUAUUGUCGUCAGUGUAAGAAGGUAGAGGAGGAAUAUCAGGAUAACAUCAUCUUAAACUGGAUCACAGAUAUUGUCGUCAGUGUAAGAAGGUAGAGGAGGAAUAUCAGGAUAACAUCAGCUUAAACUGGAUCACAGAUAUUGUCGUCAGUGUAAGAAGGUAGAGGAGGAAUAUCAGGAUAACAUCAGCUUAAACUGGAUCACAGAUAUUGUCGUCAGUGUAAGAAGGUAGAGGA
Molecule: long non-coding RNA, 878 nt
Organism: Haliotis rubra (blacklip abalone)
Lineage: Eukaryota; Metazoa; Mollusca; Gastropoda; Lepetellida; Haliotidae
Exons: 2
Source: RefSeq, a predicted model, not a curated record